This 1418-nucleotide ribosomal RNA is filed under the name uncultured prokaryote. Its description in RNAcentral is "partial 16S ribosomal RNA". It matches the Rfam family "Bacterial small subunit ribosomal RNA". The record is from RNAcentral.
GGCAGGCUUACACAUGCAAGUCGAGGGGUAACGAUAGUGCUUGCACUAGGCGACGACCGGCGCACGGGUGAGUAACGCGUAUGCAACCUACCUCAAACUGGAGGAUAGCUCAGGGAAACCUGGAUUAAUACCCCAUAAUAUCUUUUUGAGGCAUCUCAAAAAGCUUAAAACUCCGGUGGUUAAAGAUGGGCAUGCGGGACAUUAGUUUGUUGGUGAGGUAACGGCUCACCAAGACUACGAUGUCUAUGGGGUCUUAAAGGAUGGUCCCACACACUGGUACUGAGACACGGACCAGACUCCUACGGGAGGCAGCAGUGAGGAAUAUUGGGCAAUGGGUGCAAACCUGACCCAGCCAUACCGCGUGCAGGAUGACGGCCCUAUGGGUUGUAAACUGCUUUUAUACGGGAAGAAAAAACUCUACGUGUAGAGAACUGACGGUACCGUACGAAUAAGGAUCGGCUAACUCCGUGCCAGCAGCCGCGGUAAUACGGAGGAUCCAGGCGUUAUCCGGAUUUAUUAGGUUUAAAGGGUGCGCAGGCGGGUUAAUAAGUCAGUGGUGAAAUCCCUCAGCUCAACUGAGGAACUGCCAUUGAUACUGUUAGUCUUGAGUAUAGUUGAGGUAGGCGGAAUGUGUCAUGUAGCGGUGAAAUGCAUAGAGAUGACACAGAACACCGAUUGCGUAGGCAGCUCACUAAACUAUCACUGACGCUGAGGCACGAAAGCGUGGGGAGCGAACAGGAUUAGAUACCCUGGUAGUCCACGCCGUAAACGAUGAUUACUCGUUGUUGGCAAUAUAAGGUCAGCGACUGAGCGAAAGCAUUAAGUAAUCCACCUGGGGAGUACGUUGGCAAGAAUGAAACUCAAAGGAAUUGACGGGGGCCCGCACAAGCGGAGGAACAUGUGGUUUAAUUCGAUGAUACGCGAGGAACCUUACCUGGGCUUAAAUGGAGAACGACCGCCGCCGAAAGGUGGCUUCCCUUCGGGGCGAUUUUCAAGGUGCUGCAUGGUUGUCGUCAGCUCGUGCCGUGAGGUGUCGGGUUAAGUCCCAUAACGAGCGCAACCCCUAUCGUUAGUUGCUAGCAGGUAAUGCUGAGGACUCUAACGAGACUGCCGGUGUAAGGCGAGAGGAAGAUGGGGAUGACGUCAAGUCAGCACGGCCCUUAUGUCCGGGGCUACACACGUGUUACAAUGGCCAGUACAAUGGGCAGCUACCUGGCAACAGGAUGCUAAUCUCCAAAGCCGGUCCCAGUUCGGAUCGGAGUCUGCAACUCGACUCCGUGAAGUUGGAUUCGCUAGUAAUCGUAGAUCAGCAACGCUACGGUGAAUACGUUCCCGGGCCUUGUACACACCGCCCGUCAAGCCAUGGAAGCCAGGAGUGCCUGAAGUCUGUAACCGCAAGGAGCGGCCUAGGGUAAAAC